RNAcentral lists this non-coding RNA (19 nucleotides) under Rattus norvegicus (Norway rat). The record is from RNAcentral. Lineage: Eukaryota; Metazoa; Chordata; Mammalia; Rodentia; Muridae.
UGACAUGAGUGCUGGGAAA